UCUCUUCUCUCUCUCUUUCUGUUUAUGCCCUGGGGCUAUUGUUGGUUACUUUAAUCAGCGAUUGAUAAGCUUCCUUCUGUGUUUGUAUUACUGUUGGGGCUUAAAUGGUUCUGGGCUUAAUUCUAGGUCAUUCAAUGACCAGUGGGAUUUCUUGUUUAGGCGUUUUAGCUUUAGAUUGGUAUAUUCUGUGCUAAAGCUGUUGGUUUAUUUGCAAACAAACAAAUAGAUUAAUAAAAGGGGCGAUACAGUGGAUGAGAAGAUCAAGAAGCUUGAUGUUGAACUUAAUAGAUACAGAGAGCAUGUCAAGAUCACAUUGAGUUAUUUGUUAUUUUUCUGUCUCGAAUUCUUAUAAUGUUACAUUACAUUCUGCUGGCUGUUUUUCCAAUAUCACAUUGAUUAAGAAGGGUCUUGUUUGCAUGAAAUGGACUAGCAUGGUGAUAUAUUAAUUUUUUGUCAGAUACUAUGCUUUGGAUGAACCAAUCAACCUAUCAAGGAUUUUCAUGUCAUGGAGUGCUUGGUCUCUUCUAUCAAUAAAUGUUUUUUUUUCCUGCUCAAGUUGGGAUCUUUUAGCUAGUAAUGUGGAAUCUGUCAAGCUUUAAUAGAUACAUGUAUUUGGUUGCCUGAGUUAUUCCUUUCCUAUUAUGAGCUCUGUCAAGUCAUUUGUAAAGUGAAAAGCAUAAUUAUCCUUAACUCGUUCAUCAUCCCGGCUCUAUACUGGAUAUUGCCUGAUAUGUGUCCAGAAUCUAGUUCUCAAGAAUUCUGCUCAUUUGCUGUCAUUUGGGAAUUUUAUUCCUUCUUACGUCAUGGACUCAUACAAAUCUUUUAUAUUAAUAAAAGGGGCGAUACAGUGGAUGAGAAGAUCAAGAAGCUUGAUGUUGAACUUAAUAGAUACAGAGAGCAUGUCAAGAAGACAAGGAGCUUUCAGCAAAAGUUGCCAAGAUUGUGGGAGCGACUCCCAUUGUUACAGAAGAUCACACUCAGCCAUCAAAUCAGCAGCAGCAAACACUUGGCCUGAGUUUUCAGGGAGGAUACCCGAGAAAGAGAAAGCUAUAUUAGGCUUAUCGUGGACAUGUUGAAAAUUGUUGAAGGGAUGAAGUCAUUCAGUCUCCGAUCAAUAUGCAAACACUUGAGAUGCUGGAGAAGGAGGAGAAGCUCCUUGGCAGCGUUGUAAUAAAGAAACACUACUGUUUCUAUGAGUCGCAUUUGUAAUUGAUUGGGGGUUCUUCAAAAUUGAAUCCUAAAGACGGUCUAUAGACGAAGGGGGAGACUCUUGGUGGAUUGGGUGUGCACUGAAAAUGGAGCAAGGCCAACCAGAGGUGAGCUAGGUUUUGAGUUCUUGGUGAAUAGGAGUGGGCAGCCUUAUCUGAUUCAAACAAAUACCUUAAUCAGGUUCUUUUCUUCCUUUUUCUUUUGAGUUCAUUAGCAUGCAUCUAUCUAUUUGAUUACCAAAAAAAUUGAGCAAAACGAUGAAGGAAUGGGAAAUUCAAUUUGAAUUCUUUUUCAUCAUAAUGUAUGAAAUUGUAGUCUUGGUGUUGUACAUUGAUGAACUGUUGCACAGAGAAUAAUGUCUAGAUAUAUAUGUGAAGAUAAAUUUGGUGAGAUUGUAGUCCAAUACACUCUAUUGGUAAAGGUGAAGAUGUAACAGAAAGAAGACGAACAUAAAUAAGCAUCCCAAUUAAAUCAAAACAGUAAUGAUAAAAGAGUGUAAAGCAAAGACAUUAUCAUCUUUCUAUUGGACUAUUGGUUUAAUUGGGUUUAAUUGUGUCAUUUUUCAUAUAUUGGCAUCUUUCUGCUCCUUCACAUAGACAAGCAUAUGUUUAUGUGGAACUUCUCUUUUCAUUUUGUUGUUUAAAAAUUGAUAUGAAUAUGGAGCUUCUGGUGAUAAUGGGUGUUACUAACUAUAUAUCACUGCAUUAAACUACUUUGAAUUUGAGAUGAUAUAGGAGCAGAUUGCGAGCUUGGAGUCGAAUUAAUCAGUCUCAAGUGCACCUUCAAAUAUCUUUUGAACUUGACUCGUAAGAGUAAGCGAUUGUUCAGUGAACCAUGUUCUGAUUUCUCCUAGCACUUAUUUUUGGGAGUUUGGGCACUCUGCUAUUAUCGCUCUUGGAUUUUAAAAGGUCUUGCAAUCUGACUUUACCAACUAGUUUUGAAAACCAUUUAUCUAGUUCUUAUAUCUAUGUCCAGUUGCCUAAUUGUUUAGCGGAGAAAGUUGUUUUAUUCCUUGUUUGGUACCUUAUUUUGUGUUCUUUUAAAUAUCGAAAAAUUGGUCAGGGCUAGUUGUUUUGGUAUGCUGUGAUAUUCUGGAAGGCAAACUGUGUUUGGAAGGAAGAUUUUGGGGGUUUGGUGCAUGAUAAAGUUUCUGAAAUUUUCAAGUCUCUUGGACUUGGUUGUUCCUGCUUUUGGUUCUGCUCAUGAAACUGAAAAGUUAAAUUGAGGUAUUUGCAUGUGUGUAUUUGAUUGAAAAAAAUUCAUAGUGGAGAUAGACUGCUGUUUGCCUUUACCUUCUGAUUUUGGUUGCUAUCGUUUUACAUGUCUUUUGGUGAAUUUGUAUAUAUAUCAUUUUGGUUGAUGUUGGUUGCUUGGAUUAUGUUAGGAAAGUCCAAAGUGCUUGAAAUUUUGGUUGCUCGAAAAUUUGGUUGUUGUUGUUUUGCAUGUGUUUUGGUAAAUGUCAUAUAUUUAAUUUUGGUUGCUAUUGGUUGCUUGGAUUAUGGUUAUUGAAAUUUUGGUUGUCAUUUACCAAGUGGCAUAUAUGUAAUGCUCAAAUUACAAAAAAUUUCAAGGUUGGCCAGAAUACAUAAUGCUCAAUGACAAUUAUAGAUUCUUUUCUGCAAUUUUGUCCAUUACUAAGUGCAAACCCUUUUGUUUCAGUGGGAAAGAAGAGGCAAAGAAGCAUAUGCCAAGAAGAUAUGGAUGUGGUUAGAAAUGAGUGGACAAAGUUUGUGGUCAAGACAUAUAUGUAAGCAUUGUACUUGGUACUUGGGUACCCAUAUAUUUUUUUAGUUCAGUUGAGACCUUGUUCUUUAGAUUUGGUUGGACAUGAGUUGAUGCUAGUACUUUGAAUUGAUAAUGUAAGAUUUGUGAGAAUGAUGUAUGAGAAUGUGGUAAAUGAAAUUGGAACUUCGAAUUUCAUAUCA
Rosa chinensis is the source of this 3134-nucleotide RNA transcript. RefSeq lists it as uncharacterized. The record is from RefSeq and is a predicted model, not a curated record. The transcript is spliced from 7 exons. NCBI's taxonomy places the organism in Eukaryota, Viridiplantae, Streptophyta, Magnoliopsida, Rosales, Rosaceae.